This 1052-nucleotide ribosomal RNA is filed under the name uncultured Bacillaceae bacterium. RNAcentral describes it as "bacterial SSU rRNA". It matches the Rfam family "Bacterial small subunit ribosomal RNA", at positions 354 to 1398 of the family's 1533-position model. The record is from RNAcentral. Lineage: Bacteria; Bacillati; Bacillota; Bacilli; Caryophanales; Bacillaceae.
GUGGGGAAUUUUCCGCAAUGGACGCAAGUCUGACGGAGCAACGCCGCGUGAGUGAUGAAAGUCUUCGGAUUGUAAAACUCUGUUGUUAGGGAAGAACAAGUACCGUUCAAAUAGGGCGGUACCUUGACGGUACCUAACCAGAAAGCCCCGGCUAACUACGUGCCAGCAGCCGCGGUAAUACGUAGGGGGCAAGCGUUGUCCGGAAUUAUUGGGCGUAAAGGGCGCGCAGGCGGUCUUCUAAGUCUGAUGUGAAAUCCCACGGCUUAACCGUGGAAGGUCAUUGGAAACUGGAGGACUUGAGUGCAGAAGAGGAGAGUGGAAUUCCAUGUGUAGCGGUGAAAUGCGUAGAGAUAUGGAGGAACACCAGUGGCGAAGGCGACUCUCUGGUCUGCAACUGACGCUGAGGCGCGAAAGCGUGGGUAGCGAACAGGAUUAGAUACCCUGGUAGUCCACGCCGUAAACAAUGAGUGCUAGGUGUCAGGGGGUUUCCGCCCCUUGGUGCUGGAGUUAACGCAUUAAGCACUCCGCCUGGGGAGUACGGCCGCAAGGCUGAAACUCAAAAGAAUUGACGGGGGCCCGCACAAGCGGUGGAGCAUGUGGUUUAAUUCGAAGCAACGCGAAGAACCUUACCAGGUCUUGACAUCCUCUGAUAGCUCUAGAGAUAGAGUGUUCCCUUCGGGGACAGAGUGACAGGUGGUGCAUGGUUGUCGUCAGCUCGUGUCGUGAGAUGUUGGGUUAAGUCCCGUAACGAGCGCAACCCUUAAUCUUAGUUGCCAGCAUUUAGUUGGGCACUCUAAGGUGACUGCCGGUGACAAACCGGAGGAAGGUGGGGAUGACGUCAAAUCAUCAUGCCCCUUAUGACCUGGGCAACACACGUGCUACAAUGGAUGGUACAGAGGGCAGCGAAGCCGCGAGGUGAAGCAAAUCCCAUAAAACCAUUCUCAGUUCGGAUUGUAGGCUGCAAUUCGCCUACAUGAAGCAGGAAUCGCUAGUAAUCGUGGAUCAGCAUGCCACGGUGAAUACGUUCCCGGGCCUUGUACUCACCGCCCGUC